UGGGGAAUCUUGCACAAUGGGGGCAACCCUGAUGCAGCGACGCCGCGUGAGCGAUGAAGCCCUUCGGGGCGUAAAGCUCUUUCGACCGGAACGAUAAUGACGGUACCGGGGGAAGAAGCUGCGGCUAACUACGUGCCAGCAGCCGCGGUAAUACGUAGGCAGCAAGCGUUGUUCGGAGUUACUGGGCGUAAAGAGUGCGUAGGCGGUUUUCUAAGUUCGGUGUGAAAUCUCCCGGCUUAACUGGGAGGGUGCGCCGAAGACUGGGAAGCUGUAGUGUGGGAAAGGCAGGCGGAAUUCCUGGUGUAGCGGUGAAACGCGUAGAUAUCAGGAGGCACACCGGCGGUGUAGACGGCUUGCUAGACCAUAACUGACGCUGAGGCACGAAAGCGUGGGUAGCAAACA
Molecule: ribosomal RNA, 402 nt
Filed under: uncultured bacterium
Lineage: Bacteria
Description: bacterial SSU rRNA
Rfam family: Bacterial small subunit ribosomal RNA
Source: RNAcentral